RNAcentral lists this long non-coding RNA (1542 nucleotides) under Homo sapiens (human). RNAcentral's name for it is "HSALNT0409466". Lineage: Eukaryota; Metazoa; Chordata; Mammalia; Primates; Hominidae. The record is from RNAcentral.
AGAUGGUCUCAGUCCAGGCUCGUUCAGGCUGGAGUGCAGUGGUGCAAACUUGGCUCACUGCAACAUCCACCUCCUGGGUUCCAGCGAUUUUCCUGCCUUAGCCUCCCAGGUAGCUAGGACUAGAGACGUGCCACCAUGCCCAGCUAACUUUUGUGUUUUUCGUAGAGACAGGGUUUUGCCAUGUUGGCCACGCUGACCUGGAACUCUUGACCUUAUGUGAUCCAUGUGGCCACUUUGGCCUCCCAAAGUGCUAUAUUACAAGCAUAAGCCACUAUACCUGGCCCUUCUUUCUUUUGGCUAACUCUCUGAGCAAAACUCUUUCUGCCAUGGGAGAUCAUUACCUUAUCAUUGGUCAUUUUCAGGAUCUUCUGAGAACACAGACCAGAAGUACUGAGGUAAUCUUGGCACAUUUUCUUAACUAUUUUAUGCUGCUUUUAAAAUACCUUAUAUAUAGCUGGGAAAAAAGGUUUUGCUAGAUGAUCUUUCAACCUUCAUGAAAAUAAAGAUUUUACUAAAAAGUUUAAACCAAAGGCACUGAUGGAAAAUACAGAAGAAAACCUAAACAAAGUUUCAGUUCUCAGCCCCUCAGCAGCCACUAAGUGAUGGGCAUUUCCUUCACUCCCCAGUGAGCACCUAUUGUUUGCCCCGCAUGGUACAGGGAAGCCAGAAUGGGCAUGGGAGGAGCAGACCAAGAAACACGCCUUGGGUGGGGGCCACAGAGGGCUUGGGUGAACUCCCAGGACAGGGCGGGAAGGGAAGGCAGAAAGGCUAUGAGCAUGGGCUGCACUGUCAGCUUUGGAAGGGUGCAGUGACCCUGCAUCUGUGGGAAGUAUGGGGCACAGGCAGCCUGAGCUGCAGCCUCAGAGUGGACUCAUCUCGGGGUCCACCUGGCCAUGGCCUGGAUUAAGUUUAAAAUGAUGAGCCCGUCUCCAACUUCCAUACAUGACUUUGCACAAGUCUGACAAACACUUUUGGGCCUCAGGAACAGCACCUUAAGUCAGAGUGCCUGCUUUUACCUCUGAUCUUUGUCAUCUUCCACACUGAAUUCUGAAUAAUCAUCAGAAUCUGACAGAUGACCAUCCACCAAAUCCUCUGUUUUUAGCUUUGUAUUUGGGAGGUAGAGAUAUUUGUCUUGAAGGGUCUACUUUUAAUGAUUUUUUUUUUUUUUUUAGUUUUUCAGUAUGUUUUGUGUGCAAGUUGGAAAUAAAUGUACUGAACUGAUUGAAAAAGAUGCUACUGCCAGUGGGUUGGAGGACAAAAAAGGGGUCAAUAUGGAGCCAUGUCCAGUUGGAGCCUUGGGGGCCGGACUCUUUGUAGGGACUGUCUGGAAGGCUGGCAGUAGUCCCUGUACAAAUACCUAAGCAGGAUGCUGACAUAGGUCACUUAGGAACCACGAAUGUGGCUCGGUUCUCACUAGGAGCCAUACCCUGAGUAGCUGAGGGCUGAAGAUAGGAGCCCCACCAGGCAGGAAUUCCCCUGUGCGGCUGUCUCUGUCUUGUAUUGGGGCUGGUUUGUGACCAGUAGGGUCAUUGUCCUUUCCUG